UACCAGCACCCCGAGUGGUCGGGACGUUUAUUGGGCCUAAAGCAUCCGUAGUCGGUUCUACAAGUCUUCCGUUAAAUCCACCUGCUUAACAGAUGGGCUGCGGAAGAUACUAUAGAGCUAGGAGGCGGGAGAGGCAAGCGGUACUCGAUGGGUAGGGGUAAAAUCCGUUGAUCCAUUGAAGACCACCAGUGGCGAAGGCGGCUUGCCAGAACGCGCUCGACGGUGAGGGAUGAAAGCUGGGGGAGCAAACCGG
This 253-nucleotide ribosomal RNA is filed under the name uncultured bacterium. RNAcentral describes it as "partial 16S ribosomal RNA". It matches the Rfam family "Archaeal small subunit ribosomal RNA", at positions 474 to 727 of the family's 1478-position model. The record is from RNAcentral.